CGGAUGCUUGCGGGCCCUUGUGGGGUACCAACAGCAGCCGAACUCCGAAUACCGUGGAUGUGUAUUCCGGCAGUGAGUCGGCGGGGGAUAAGCUCCGUCGUCGAGAGGGAGACAGCCCAGAUCGUCGUCUAAGGUCCCGAAGCGUGUGCUAAGUGGGAAAGGAUGUGGAGUCGCAUAGACAGCCAGGAGGUUGGCUCAGAAGCAGCCAUCCUUGAAAGAGUGCGUAACAGCUCACUGGUCUAGUGGUUCCGCGCCGACAAUGUAGCGGGGCUCAAGCACACCACCGAAGACGCGGCAGCGGCCUUUGCGGCCGUUGGGUAGGAGAGCGUCCCGCGUGGGGCGAAGCGGCCGGGGAACCGUGCCGUGGACCGCGCGGGAGUGAGAAUGCAGACAUGAGUAGCGAGAGACGGGUGAGGAUCCCGUCCGCUGGAUGACCAAGGGUUCCGGGGCCACGUUCGUCGUCCCCGGGUGAGGCGGGUCCUAAGGCGAGGCCGACAGGCGUAGUCGAAUGGAUGAACGGGUGGAUAUUCCCGUACCGGCGGCGUACCGUAAGAGCCGAACGGAUGAGUACUAACCUCCGGUCGCGUGGCGUCGUUCCCUUCGGGGUUCGGGGCGCGUGGCUGUUGGGAGCGUAGUCCUGGUAGGCUAGCGCACAGGGGUGACACGGAAUGGGAGCCGGCCGCGGAGGUGGUUUUCCGUGGUCAAGCACGCAGCCCGUCCCAUAGGCAAAUCCGUGGGGCACAUAGGGUGAGGUGUGAUGAUGGGCGUCCUUUGGACGCGAUAUCCGGUGGUCCAGGCCGUCGAGAAAAGCCUCGGCGCGAGGGGCGUCGCCGCCCGUACCCCAAACCGACACAGGUGGUCAGGUAGAGAAUACCAAGGCGAUCGAGCGAAUCCUGGUCAAGGAACUCGGCAAAUCACUCCCGUGCCUUCGGUAUAAGGGAGACCCCCGGGCGUGAAGAGGCUUGCCCUCGGAGCGUUGGGGGGUGGCACAGACCAGGGGGUAGCGACUGUUUACCAAAAACACAGGUGCAUGCGAAGGCGCAAGCCGCUGUAUAUGCACUGACGCCUGCCCGGUGCCGGAAGGUUAAGAGGAUCCGUCAGCCCCUUUGGGGUGAAGCGGUGAAUUCAAGCCCCGGUAAACGGCGGUGGUAACUAUAACCAUCCUAAGGUAGCGAAAUUCCUUGUCGGGUAAGUUCCGACCUGCACGAAUGGCGUA
This 1216-nucleotide ribosomal RNA is filed under the name metagenome. Its description in RNAcentral is "bacterial LSU rRNA". It matches the Rfam family "Bacterial large subunit ribosomal RNA", at positions 911 to 2003 of the family's 2925-position model. The record is from RNAcentral.